GGCGCCGUUGGUGCAGUGGUUAGCAUACUGCCUUCCCAAAAGCCUUACUUUCUACAUGUAGUUGUGAAAGUGAAAGGUGGCUUUGUGAGGCAGGGGUCGUGGGUUCGAGUAAGUGAAGUGCCG
Non-coding RNA from Byssothecium circinans, 123 nucleotides. The record is from the annotation of a GenBank genome assembly. Lineage: Eukaryota; Fungi; Ascomycota; Dothideomycetes; Pleosporales; Massarinaceae.